This is a long non-coding RNA of Bubalus bubalis (water buffalo), 417 nucleotides long. RefSeq lists it as uncharacterized. The record is from RefSeq and is a predicted model, not a curated record. NCBI's taxonomy places the organism in Eukaryota, Metazoa, Chordata, Mammalia, Artiodactyla, Bovidae. The transcript is spliced from 3 exons.
GGCGAUUCUGCUAAAAUGCAGAUUACAGUUCAGCAGGUGUCGGUCUGAGGCUGGCAAUUCUGCGAUUCCCGCAGUUCCCAGGGUUGCAGGUACUGCUGGUCGAGGGUCCAAACGCUGAGGGGCGAGGGUUGCCAGAUGAGCGCUAAGAAAUGAUUGAUGUGAACUAUGUUUUGAAAUAUCCAAUUUGUGAAGCUGUGAAAAUCUUCAAUACCUCAACUUCUAGGGGCGGACUGCAUUCCUUGGCUUCCUGCAUCUUCAACGCAAGCAACAUUGCAUCUCUGACUAUCCUUCCAUAGUCACGUUUUCUUCUGACUACAGCCUAAGAAGGUUCUCAUCUUUAAGGAUUAAUAUGAUGACACUGGCCUACCCGAAUAAUUCAGGAUAAUCUCCCCAUCUUAAAAUGCUUAUUAACAUUAA